ACGAACGCUGGCGGCAUGCCUAACACAUGCAAGUCGAACGGAUGGUCGCAAGACCAUUAGUGGCGGACGGGUGCGUAACGCGUGGGAACCUGCCUUGAAGUUCGGAAUAACUGCGGGAAACUGCAGCUAAUACCGGAUGUGGCCUGUGGGCCAAAGGGGAAACUCGCCUCAAGAGGGGCCCGCGUCCGAUUAGCUAGUUGGCGGGGUAACGGCCCACCAAGGCGAUGAUCGGUAGCUGGUCUGAGAGGACGACCAGCCACACUGGAACUGAGAUACGGUCCAGACUCCUACGGGAGGCAGCAGUGGGGAAUAUUGGACAAUGGGGGCAACCCUGAUCCAGCAAUGCCGCGUGAGUGAUGAAGGCCUUCGGGUUGUAAAGCUCUUUUGGCGGGGACGAUGAUGACGGUACCCGCAGAAUAAGCCCCGGCUAACUUCGUGCCAGCCGCCGCGGUAAU
This 455-nucleotide ribosomal RNA is filed under the name uncultured bacterium. RNAcentral describes it as "bacterial SSU rRNA". It matches the Rfam family "Bacterial small subunit ribosomal RNA", at positions 29 to 524 of the family's 1533-position model. The record is from RNAcentral.